Molecule: ribosomal RNA, 508 nt
Filed under: uncultured bacterium
Lineage: Bacteria
Description: partial 16S ribosomal RNA
Rfam family: Bacterial small subunit ribosomal RNA
Source: RNAcentral
GAUGAACGCUAGCUACAGGCUUAACACAUGCAAGUCGAGGGGAAACGACAUCGAAAGCUUGCUUUUGAUGGGCGUCGACCGGCGCACGGGUGAGUAACGCGUAUCCAACCUGCCCACCACUUGGGGAUAACCGUGCGAAAGUAAGACUAAUACCCAAUGAUAUCUCUAGAAGACAUCUGAAGGAGAUUAAAGAUUUAUCGGUGAUGGAUGGGGAUGCGUCUGAUUAGCUUGUUGGCGGGGUAACGGCCCACCAAGGCGACGAUCAGUAGGGGUUCUGAGAGGAAGGUCCCCCACAUUAGAACUGAGACACGGUCCAAACUCCUACGGGAGGCAGCAGUGAGGAAUAUUGGUCAAUGGGCGAGAGCUUGGACCAGCCAAGUAGCGUGCAGGAUGACUGCCCUAUGGGUUGUAAACUGCUUUUAUAAGGGAAUAAAGUGAGCCUCGUGAGGCUUUUUGCAUGUACCUUAUGAAUAAGGACCGGCUAAUUCCGAGCCAGCCGCCGCAGUAA